ACACACACACUCGAGAGGAUGGUGGCAUGAUAAAGGUUCAGAGAAGCCACCCAGGGUCCCAGGGCUCUGCUACAAACAAACAAACAAACCCAACUGCUUUUCCUGUCUCUUCUCAGGCCUCCUGAGGCGCACCCCAGGGCCUCCUACCUGCUUCCUGCACUGUGGAGGCCAUGGCCAGUCCCCGUAAGAUGCGUAAGAUGCCCAGGAAUGGCCAGAGAACGCCUGAGGUUGGGCCAGGUAGAGCCCCUCUAUGGUCCAGCAGCAGACAGGCAGUAGCCGACAUGAAGGAGUGACCCCAAAGGCCAGUGAGGAAGAGUCAUUUCCCUGAGAACUCGGGGGAGGGGAGAGCAGGCAGGGCCUCACAAUCCUGCUCUGUGCCAAGGUUCUUAGGUUCUGAGCCUAAGGCUCUGCCCCGGAGGAGGUGACACCAGCUGGAAUAUUUCAUCCCACUGCCAAGAGAUGUGAUCUAAGCCAGGACCUGGGAAAGAGGACCGGACCGUAGAGCCGUAGAGCUGUCACGUGAAGAUAAACUGCCACACAGCGGGAAACAGUACUUGGAAGAAGCAAUCAUUUUUACUGGGGAAGCCGGGUCCAGAAAAUAGACAAUGGCUUCGACAAAUCUCUUGAGGUCCCAACCCACAAGAUGGUGUCACCUACCACCCCGCCUUGGUCCUCCUCUUUAACUGUUCUGAAAUACCAAUCCCAUCUGAUCGAGGACCAAAGGGCCAGUGAGACGGCUCAGUGUACUCACUUGCUGCCAAGCCUGAUGACCUGGACCCGAUGGUGGGGAGAGACCCAACUCCAGACCCAUCAUCCUGUGAUGUCUCCACCCC
Apodemus sylvaticus (European woodmouse) is the source of this 833-nucleotide long non-coding RNA. RefSeq lists it as uncharacterized. The transcript is spliced from 3 exons. NCBI's taxonomy places the organism in Eukaryota, Metazoa, Chordata, Mammalia, Rodentia, Muridae. The record is from RefSeq and is a predicted model, not a curated record.